RNAcentral lists this non-coding RNA (24 nucleotides) under Arabidopsis thaliana (thale cress). The record is from RNAcentral. Lineage: Eukaryota; Viridiplantae; Streptophyta; Magnoliopsida; Brassicales; Brassicaceae.
GGAUGCAAAAUCAAAGAAGGCGAG